GCAGCAGUGGGGGAAUAUUGCACAAUGGGCGCAAGCCUGAUGCAGCCAUGCCGCGUGUGUGAAGAAGGCCUUCGGGUUGUAAAGCACUUUCAGUCGUGAGGAAGGUAGUGUAGUUAAUAGCUGCAUUAUUUGACGUUAGCGACAGAAGAAAGCACCGGCUAACUCCGUGCCAGCAGCCGCGGUAAUACGGAGGUGCGAGCGUUAAUCGGAAUUACUGGGCGUAAAGCGCAUGCAGGUGGUUUGUUAAGUCAGAUGUGAAAGACCCGGGGCUCAACCUCGGAAUAGCAUUUGAAACUAGGCAGACUAGAGUACUGUAGAGGGGGGUAGGAAUUUCAGGUGUAGCGGUGAAAUGCGUAGAGAUCUGAAGGAAUACCGGUGGCGAAGGCGGCCCCCUCGGACAGAUACUGACACUCAGAUGCGAAAGCGUGGGGAGCAAACAGGAUUAGAUACCCUGGUAG
RNAcentral lists this ribosomal RNA (458 nucleotides) under uncultured bacterium. Its description in RNAcentral is "bacterial SSU rRNA". It matches the Rfam family "Bacterial small subunit ribosomal RNA", at positions 348 to 793 of the family's 1533-position model. The record is from RNAcentral.